UGCGAGACGGCGUGGUGGAUAUGACGAUCCCUGGAACAGAAUGGGCACAGCGUGUUCUUGGUGCUUGUGAAUGAAUCAGCCGGACAAAAUUGUUGCUCAACAAGAAACGAGAGAAUGUGAAAAAAAUGGAAACUCGCCGGCCUUGCCCAGACCCUAGCCCCAGUGGCCCCCAGUGUGUGGAGGAUUGCCCUUGUUGGCGUGUUCAUUUGGAAGAACCCAAGGAUAAUCAAAUCCAUGAGGAUACAAAGGCUUCUCAACUCAUG
Doryrhamphus excisus (bluestripe pipefish) is the source of this 263-nucleotide long non-coding RNA. RefSeq lists it as uncharacterized. The record is from RefSeq and is a predicted model, not a curated record. Lineage: Eukaryota; Metazoa; Chordata; Actinopteri; Syngnathiformes; Syngnathidae.